This 73-nucleotide transfer RNA is filed under the name Stegodyphus mimosarum. It matches the Rfam family "tRNA". Rfam says of the family: Transfer RNA (tRNA) molecules are approximately 80 nucleotides in length. Their secondary structure includes four short double-helical elements and three loops (D, anti-codon, and T loops). Lineage: Eukaryota; Metazoa; Arthropoda; Arachnida; Araneae; Eresidae. The record is from Rfam by way of RNAcentral.
GCCUUCGCGGUGUAAUGGUUAGCACACUCGAUUCGUAACUGAGAGGUCCACGGUUCGAUUCCCGGCUAAGGUU